Equus quagga is the source of this 3121-nucleotide long non-coding RNA. RefSeq lists it as uncharacterized. NCBI's taxonomy places the organism in Eukaryota, Metazoa, Chordata, Mammalia, Perissodactyla, Equidae. The transcript has 2 exons. The record is from RefSeq and is a predicted model, not a curated record.
UGUGUCUCUAAAUGUUUGGUUCUGAUAAGCUUCUAUUUUGUAUUUCAACCUCUUCAUAGAAAGUAGCCUCUGUAAGAUCACAAUUAUCUGAUAUUGUGUAAAAUGAUUGUUAUGGAAACUACUGAAUUUAGGCCAUAAGUUAUUUUAUUUAUUAAUUAGGUAGGAGUAACAGAGGCUUAGAUUAGUUCAUUAAAAUGACUGUCAGACAAAUUCUCUUUUACUGGAAAAAAAGUCAAGUUAUGGUGUCAUGCUAGAAAAUGUACGGAUAAUGCUUGGAGUGUGUUAACUUUCAGGUAUUAGAAAGGAGUGCAAGAACCUACAGUUUGGUUAACAGUCUGGGAGGAUAACUCAACAUAAUGUCUCAGUUUAGUGUACUAAGUAGUCAGUUUUCUUUUGAUAUAAGGUAGAGCAAUGCAAGUAGUUGUGGUUAGGCCAGCUUAGUUGUAAUGAGCGUGGCCUCUGUAAUUCAAGGGCCUGGGUCUGAAACCUGGUGUUGCUAGUUACUGAUUGGGUGACUUGAGGUAAUGUAUACAAACUCUUUGUUCCUCUUUAUUUAUUAUGUCCAUAUUUUUCCUUAAAUCUUUGAAUACAUUUUCUAAUAUCUUAAAAUAUUUGUUAAUUCCAAUAUUUAUGUCAUCUUUGGUUGUUUUCCUACAUACAGUUUUCUCUUGAUUAUGUGUCACAUUUUCCUGUUUCUUUACAUGCCUACUAAUUUUGGUUUUAUACUAGACAUUAUAAAUGCUACAUUGUUGAGAGCCUAUAUUUUGUGAUCUUUAUUAGAGUGUUGAGUUUUUUCUGGUAGCAGUUUCCUGGCUGAGAAGUUUUAUCCUGUUGAAGCUUGUAUUUGGGUAGGUCUAGUGUAGUUCUUAGUCUAAAGUCAAAAUAUUACUACUUUUACAUUUUUCUUUUGCAGGAGAAGAUUCACCCCAAGCUAACAUCUGUUGCCAAUCUUCUUCCUUUUUCCUCCCCAAAGCCCCAGCCCAUAGUUAUGUCUGGUUUUAAAUUCUUCUGGUUCUUCUAUGUGAAGCACCACCACAGCAUGCCUACUGAUAGAUGAGUGGUGUGGUUCCACACCCAGGAACUAACCUGGGCCAUCAAGGCAGAGCAUGCAGAAAUUUAACCAUUAGGCCAUCAGGGCUGGCUCACUACUUUUAAAGUGUGGUCUUUCUGGGGUCUCAGCUGAAUGCAGGUGGAGUUCAGUAAAGCCACUUAUUCUAGAUAAUUAGAACUUCAGUGUCUCUCAGCAUUAAGUGAUCUCUGGGUCCUUCAUUCACCUCCCAAUCCCCAGUAGCUAUUCUCCACCAUGCCUCCUGGAGUCUUGCCCUGAAUAUAUGCAGGUUAGUAAUGGCCCAAAGACUCAAACAGACAUCUCUGCAGAUGUCUGGAGAUCCUUCUCUACAUAGCUCAUCUUUCUCCAGUAUAUUAUCCCAAAAGUAUCUGUUGCCUCAGCAGCCCUUAACUCUGAUACUUGUUUCCUCUAUCCAGCAAGAACAGUGCUUUUUUGUUCAAGCUACUUUUCUGUGCUGCAGUUUGGAGCUCAUCUCAUGUGUCUUUUCUCUCAAGGGUCACAGACCUGGGAUGUCUGUUGUGUAAUUAUUUUAAGUGAUUGAUUCACAUAUUUAUAAUUGUUUAAGGUGGAAUAGUAAGCCCAAUGCCAAUGCCAGUUGUUCUAUUGUGACUGGAAUUGGAAUUGUUCACUUUUAAAUUUUGAAGUUAUCUAUUUGAUAACAAUAUGCUUUAGAUAUUAAUUUCAUUUGAUAGAGUAAUUACUCAAGUUCCUGUGUGUCUUAAGAGGUUUUUAUCUGGGAUAUGUGUUUCAGGAUACUUUAUCAACUCUGUAUGUUAAGGAGGCUAUAGUAUUCUCAAAUUGAGUUAUUUCAAGCCAUAUUCAGCUUAAUUUAUUUUGCUUUGGAUAACUAUAUUUCAAAACCUUCUUACUCAUUUGUUUUCCCCUUGUGGGUUAAUUUUGGAGUUUAGAAUUGGUUUCUUGGUAAUAUCCUAAAAAUGCUUCAUUUUAGUGCCCAUAAGUUUUAUCCUUUGGGACCUUUCACUGUCUUAUAAUUUUCUAUAACUCUACCCUAGUUAGUUUAUUGCUAAUGGCUAAAGUGAACCUACUUGUUGAAUGACUAAAAUGGAGCUAGCUACCUAUGAACAUGCUUCUACCAAUUGUAAGGUGUCCAGUAAUUGUGAUACUGUAUCAGUAUUCCCUAGUAUAUUAAUUAGCCAGGUAUUUUUGGUGGACAUGGUGCUCUUAGUAAUUUUCGUGGAUUCUUGUGUCUCUUGAUAAACUCAUUCAAUCACGGCUAACCACUUAAAUAUGUCUUUUGCUUCCAGGAUUGUUUUUAUUUCUUUGCCAUUAAGGUAGAUGUUUUGGCUAUAGACAGACUGUUGCCAGGGUGCAAACACAUAGCAAAAUCAUGAGACUUUCUCUAAUUUAACCAGAUCUCUGAGAUGGCUUAUGUCUGACCCAAUGCUUGUUUGUAUCAUGAGGAAUGACAGUGUUCUAAUUUCAUUUUUGUUAGUAUAACAAUUUCUGCCCCUAUAGCGUAAAAUCUGAUUUACCAGGACAAUCCAACUUUUGCCUUCUCUUGGGAAAAUAUCUUCCUCUUCCUGAGAUGCCACAUGGAGGUGAACUGGAAGAAAAAGAGCAAAAACUGAAACCUGAAGAAUGGAGGCUGUCUUCAAACAAGCCCAACGGAAUUUGAGGAUGCCAGCACCUUUCCUACAUAUUUAAACUUAUCUGCAUUCCCGUUUCUGGAAUACCCUAUACCUGCAUUCUAAGUAGACUCAUGGAAGCUUCAGAGGUCAUUUAACACAUAAUGUCUCAUCUGUACAUCUUGAAGUGGUGAGUGGCUUGCCUAAGAGAACACAGAUGCUCAGUGGCAGAGCCAGAACAUGAACUCAUGCAUAAUGACCUCUGUCAUCUGGGGCCAUCCUCUGAUUUGGUACUUGUGGUUGGUACAGACUCUCUGUGCCACACCUCAUUCCACUGUGAAAGCAUUCUCAUACUGCUUUUAAUUUCAUAACUGUUAAAAAUUAUUUGGCUACGCAUAUUUCAUGCACUAUCGAGUAAAGUGAAGAGGAGAAAAAUAAAGCUACAUAAAAAAUCCAAUAAGUAAUA